UACGUAGGGUGCAAGCGUUGUCCGGAAUUAUUGGGCGUAAAGGGCUCGUAGGCGGUCCGUCACGUCGGGAGUGAAAACUCGGGGCUCAACCCCGAGCCUGCAGUCGAUACGGGCAGACUAGAGUGCUGUAGGGAAGACUGGAAUUCCUGGUGUAGCGGUGAAAUGCGCAGAUAUCAGGAGGAAUACCGAUGGCGAAGGCAGGUCUCUGGGCUGACACUGACGCUCAUGCACGAAAGCGUGGGGAGCAAACAGG
RNAcentral lists this ribosomal RNA (253 nucleotides) under uncultured bacterium. RNAcentral describes it as "partial 16S ribosomal RNA". It matches the Rfam family "Bacterial small subunit ribosomal RNA", at positions 524 to 776 of the family's 1533-position model. The record is from RNAcentral.